This 425-nucleotide ribosomal RNA is filed under the name uncultured bacterium. RNAcentral describes it as "partial 16S ribosomal RNA". It matches the Rfam family "Bacterial small subunit ribosomal RNA", at positions 354 to 796 of the family's 1533-position model. The record is from RNAcentral.
GUGGGGAAUAUUGGACAAUGGGCGCAAGCCUGAUCCAGCCAUGCCGCGUGAGUGAUGAAGGCCCUAGGGUUGUAAAGCUCUUUCACCGGAGAAGAUAAUGACGGUAUCCGGAGAAGAAGCCCCGGCUAACUUCGUGCCAGCAGCCGCGGUAAUACGAAGGGGGCUAGCGUUGUUCGGAAUUACUGGGCGUAAAGCGCACGUAGGCGGACAUUUAAGUCAGGGGUGAAAUCCCGGGGCUCAACCCCGGAACUGCCUUUGAUACUGGGUGGCUGGAGUAUGGAAGAGGUAAGUGGAAUUCCGAGUGUAGAGGUGAAAUUCGUAGAUAUUCGGAGGAACACCAGUGGCGAAGGCGGCUUACUGGUCCAUUACUGACGCUGAGGUGCGAAAGCGUGGGGAGCAAACAGGAUUAGAUACCCUAGUAGUCC